Molecule: ribosomal RNA, 356 nt
Filed under: Aspergillus terreus
Lineage: Eukaryota; Fungi; Ascomycota; Eurotiomycetes; Eurotiales; Aspergillaceae
Description: SSU rRNA
Rfam family: Eukaryotic small subunit ribosomal RNA
Source: RNAcentral
AGUGUUGCAGUUAAAAGCUCGUAGUUGAACCUUGGGUCUGGCUGGCCGGUCCGCCUCACCGCGAGUACUGGUCCGGCUGGACCUUUCCUUCUGGGGAAUCCCAUGGCCUUCACUGGCUGUGGGGGGAACCAGGACUUUUACUGUGAAAAAAUUAGAGUGUUCAAAGCAGGCCUUUGCUCGAAUACAUUAGCAUGGAAUAAUAGAAUAGGACGUGCGGUUCUAUUUUGUUGGUUUCUAGGACCGCCGUAAUGAUUAAUAGGGAUAGUCGGGGGCGUCAGUAUUCAGCUGUCAGAGGUGAAAUUCUUGGAUUUGCUGAAGACUAACUACUGCGAAAGCUUUCGCCAAGGAUGUUUUCA